This 84-nucleotide transfer RNA is filed under the name Ferrithrix thermotolerans DSM 19514. It matches the Rfam family "tRNA". From Rfam's summary of the family: Transfer RNA (tRNA) molecules are approximately 80 nucleotides in length. Lineage: Bacteria; Bacillati; Actinomycetota; Acidimicrobiia; Acidimicrobiales; Acidimicrobiaceae. The record is from Rfam by way of RNAcentral.
GGAGGGGUGGCAGAGCGGACAAAUGCGACGGUCUUGAAAACCGUUGGGUCACAAGCCCCGUGGGUUCGAAUCCCACCCCCUCCG